This 822-nucleotide ribosomal RNA is filed under the name Arthrobacter sp. Its description in RNAcentral is "bacterial SSU rRNA". It matches the Rfam family "Bacterial small subunit ribosomal RNA", at positions 639 to 1453 of the family's 1533-position model. The record is from RNAcentral. Lineage: Bacteria; Bacillati; Actinomycetota; Actinomycetes; Micrococcales; Micrococcaceae.
GACUAGAGUGAUGUAGGGGAGACUGGAAUUCCUGGUGUAGCGGUGAAAUGCGCAGAUAUCAGGAGGAACACCGAUGGCGAAGGCAGGUCUCUGGGCAUUUACUGACGCUGAGGAGCGAAAGCAUGGGGAGCGAACAGGAUUAGAUACCCUGGUAGUCCAUGCCGUAAACGUUGGGCACUAGGUGUGGGGGACAUUCCACGUUUUCCGCGCCGUAGCUAACGCAUUAAGUGCCCCGCCUGGGGAGUACGGCCGCAAGGCUAAAACUCAAAGGAAUUGACGGGGGCCCGCACAAGCGGCGGAGCAUGCGGAUUAAUUCGAUGCAACGCGAAGAACCUUACCAAGGCUUGACAUGUGCCAGACCGGACUAGAGAUAGUUCUUCCCUUCGGGGCUGGUUCACAGGUGGUGCAUGGUUGUCGUCAGCUCGUGUCGUGAGAUGUUGGGUUAAGUCCCGCAACGAGCGCAACCCUCGUUCCAUGUUGCCAGCACGUAGUGGUGGGGACUCAUGGGAGACUGCCGGGGUCAACUCGGAGGAAGGUGGGGAUGACGUCAAAUCAUCAUGCCCCUUAUGUCUUGGGCUUCACGCAUGCUACAAUGGCCGGUACAAUGGGUUGCGAUACUGUGAGGUGGAGCUAAUCCCUAAAAGCCGGUCUCAGUUCGGAUUGGGGUCUGCAACUCGACCCCAUGAAGUCGGAGUCGCUAGUAAUCGCAGAUCAGCAACGCUGCGGUGAAUACGUUCCCGGGCCUUGUACACACCGCCCGUCAAGUCACGAAAGUUGGUAACACCCGAAGCCGAUGGCCUAACCACCUUGUGUGGGGGGAGU